ACGCGCGCACGCCGACCACUGUUGUGCACGUUGUAACAGUGCGACGUCGUCGUACCGACCACCGGGGCUGUUGUCGCGAUCGGCAGUCGUGUGAUUCUCCGGCGCGCCACUCUACUCUACAGCCGACUCGCGCCCGUCUCGAGUAAUCUCUGUCACGCGAUACUAAAAAUAUAAUACAUAACACAUAUAAUAAUAUCAUCGCACACAGUUGUAGUAUUCGCCAUACGGUAAUAACGCUGCACGGACGGUCGUCUAUAUAUUUCGAUAUAAAUAGUUUCGAUUAAACGGUUUAUUAUUCGACCAGAAUAUUAUAAUAUCAUUACGCAUCGUAUUGUAUUUUAUUGUUAUUAUUUUUUUUCGCGUCGCCUUCGGACAGCACAAUGGCACGGAUAUUCUUCCGGCCCCCCUAACGAAACGGUCACAACUAAAUUACAACGAAAAGGUUUUGUAAAAGUAAACUCUCUCUGGUCAUUUAUUUUCUGCAGAGAAUACAUUGUCUGCGAACAAGCAUUUGUGAUAUCCACGCUCACGGAUGGAACGCGGUAACGGGACUUCCGGAGCUGCCGGCGGUGCAGCGCACAUAUCGCCGUACUGCGGUGAUCUGCUGGUCGACAUGCACGAUGUGUACGUCCACUACCACGGUUACGCCAGCCUUCUGGUGUGCGCAUUCGGUUCGGUUGCGAACGUGCUCAACAUCGCCGUGCUGACGCGCAAGGAAAUGGUCUCGCCCACCAACGCCAUACUCACCGGGCUGGCCGUGGCCGACCUGCUGGUUAUGGUCGAGUACGUGCCGUUCGCUUACCACAUGUACCUCCGACCGACCAACUAUCCGCGCGCCGACCGCUUCUCCUACAACUGGUCACUAUUCGUCUUGCUCCACUCUGACUUUUCGCAGGCUUUUCACACCAUAUCCAUAUGGCUGACGGUCACCCUGGCCGUGUGGAGGUACGUGGCCGUGGUACACCCGCAGCUCAACCGGAUAUGGUGCCGGAUGGAGACCACUCUGUCAGCGAUCGCGUUGGGCUACGUAGUGUGCCCGAUCAUCUGCAUACCCAGUUACCUGUCGUUCAACCUAUUCUCGCGGGUGGAGACGCUGGACGUGAACGGCAACCGUCCGACGGCAGUGCUACAGUCGGCGCUGCGGCGGGCCAAUAACGGCACCGAUGUCCACAGCGGCCACGGCACCGGUGGAGGCGCCGGUGGAAGCGGUGGAGCCGGUGGUGGAGGCGGUGGCGGAGUGGCAAAUGGCAGCCACGGCGGUGUCGGGCCGCUGCGCAACGUCACACUGUACUACGUCAACGUCAGCGACCUGGCCACGUCCACGUACUUGGCCGAUAUCAAUUUUUGGGUGUACAGCGUCGUCAUCAAGAUCAUACCGUGCGUGGCGCUCACGGUUCUCAGUCUGCGGCUGAUAUGCGCGCUGUUGGAGGCCAAACGCCGCCGGGCCAAGCUGACGGGCAGCGGCCGCAAGUCGGCCGACAAAGAGCGGCAGACGGACAGGACCACCCGGAUGCUGUUGGCCGUGCUCAUGUUGUUCCUGAUCACCGAGUUCCCACAGGGCAUACUCGGCCUGCUCACGCUGUUGCUCGGCAAGCGGUUCUUCCAGGACUGCUAUCAGAACAUGGGCGAGGUAAUGGACAUGCUGGCGCUGGUCAAUUCGGCCAUCAACUUCAUACUGUACUGCGUGAUGAGCCGGCAGUUCCGCAACACGUUCAGCCUGCUCUUCCUGCCGUCCUGGAUCUCCAAGGUUGAGUCACAAGCUCUGUCGCACGGUAACCCGACCACUACGCAAGUCACGCAAGUCUAAGGCGAUUGCUCUUUCGUGGUCGUUGUGUCCCCCCCACGAUCGACCUGUCGUCGUCGUCGUCGUCGUCGUCGUCGUCGUAGCAUUUAUGUGCGCCACCCACCACCCACAAACCAUCGGCACCGAUCAUCACCGCCGACGACGAGGACGACGACGCCGUUAAUGCAGCAGUGUAGACCGGACAAAAGAGUGCUGACCUGAAGAUGUUUUUGAUUCCUG
RNAcentral lists this unclassified non-coding RNA (2023 nucleotides) under Rhopalosiphum maidis (corn leaf aphid). RNAcentral's name for it is "sex peptide receptor-like, transcript variant X5". The record is from RNAcentral. Lineage: Eukaryota; Metazoa; Arthropoda; Insecta; Hemiptera; Aphididae.